This 301-nucleotide ribosomal RNA is filed under the name uncultured bacterium. Its description in RNAcentral is "partial 16S ribosomal RNA". It matches the Rfam family "Bacterial small subunit ribosomal RNA", at positions 509 to 807 of the family's 1533-position model. The record is from RNAcentral.
CAGCAGCCGCGGGAAUACGUAGGGUGCAAGCGUUAAUCGGAAUUACUGGGCGUAAAGCGUGCGCAGGCGGUUUUGUAAGUCUGUCGUGAAAUCCCCGGGCUCAACCUGGGAAUGGCGAUGGAGACUGCAAGGCUAGAAUCUGGCAGAGGGGGGUAGAAUUCCACGUGUAGCAGUGAAAUGCGUAGAUAUGUGGAGGAACACCGAUGGCGAAGGCAGCCCCCUGGGCUAAGAUUGACGCUCAUGCACAAAAGCGUGGGGAGCAAACAGGAUUAGAUACCCCCGUAGUCCCUGUCUCUUAUAC